UCUAAAAUCUCUCACCCAGGGGUUCAACUCCCCUUUUUAACU
RNAcentral lists this transfer RNA (42 nucleotides) under Hynobius nebulosus (clouded salamander). Its description in RNAcentral is "partial tRNA-Leu". The record is from RNAcentral. Lineage: Eukaryota; Metazoa; Chordata; Amphibia; Caudata; Hynobiidae.